UCGGGAAUUUUGGGCAAUGGGCGAAAGCCUGACCCAGCAACGCCGCGUGAAGGAUGAAGUAUUUCGGUAUGUAAACUUCGAAAGAAUAGGAAGAAUAAAUGACGGUACUAUUUAUAAGGUCCGGCUAACUACGUGCCAGCAGCCGCGGUAAUACGUAGGGACCAAGCGUUGUUCGGAUUUACUGGGCGUAAAGGGCGCGUAGGCGGCAAUUCAAGUCAUCUGUGAAAUCUCCGGGCUUAACUCGGAACGGUCAGAUGAUACUGCUUUGCUAGAGUGCAGAAGGGGCAAUCGGAAUUCUUGGUGUAGCGGUGAAAUGCGUAGAUAUCUGGAGGAACACCGGUGGCGAAGGCGGCAUCCUGGACCAAUACUGACGCUGAGGCACGAAAGCUAGGGUAGCGAACGGGAUUAGAUACCCUCGUAGUCCCUGAGCGGGCUGGCAAGGCGCAU
RNAcentral lists this ribosomal RNA (447 nucleotides) under uncultured bacterium. Its description in RNAcentral is "bacterial SSU rRNA". It matches the Rfam family "Bacterial small subunit ribosomal RNA", at positions 355 to 825 of the family's 1533-position model. The record is from RNAcentral.